This 702-nucleotide long non-coding RNA is filed under the name Mytilus galloprovincialis (Mediterranean mussel). The record is from RNAcentral. Lineage: Eukaryota; Metazoa; Mollusca; Bivalvia; Mytilida; Mytilidae.
CCGCUACGCGCGUUAUUCGAUAUCAGUGUGGACAAUUUUUUUUUAUGUUAUUUCUUCAUAGACAGAAAAAAUAUUACAGCCGAGCAGGAACUACCGAGCGAUACACUUGUACAUUGAUUUAACGUUUUCAUUUCUAGUUUCAUUAAUGAUACCAUUUCUAAAGAACCAAACUUGUCUUUUGUUGUAAUGUUGUGUUUUUUUGUUAGAACUCAAUCCAAAUAUUGGAGAAAUUUGUGGAGUGGCCACAGGAAUCAAGCAUACAGUACAUUGCCGCGGACAAAUAUUUUAUAAUCAUAGUUACUUCACAAAAGAUACAACUGAAAAAAGACCUCAUGACCACAUACGAAUACAAGUAAACAAAACACUGCAUACAAAAUAAGACUGAUGAAAGCAUACCAAAGAAAAAACCCGUAAUAUUUUGAAAGUAUGGGCGGUUCCUGCUGUUGAAGUAACACAGCUCGCGUCAAUCUAAUAGGAUACAUACAGGACUCUGCUACAACCAACUCACCCUUUUAUACAAAGUACGUUUAGUUGUUCGAUAUGAAAUAUAUCUAGGAGUUGAGAUCAAAUUUGCUGUUUUACAUAAAACUUUGCCCCGUUAAUGAAAUUUCUUCUCUUUUCUUCUAUUCAACAUCAUUCGGUAUUUUUGUAUACGUGUAAUGCAAACCGCAACCCAAAAACCUUGUUUUAAUCAUCUAGUAC